ACACACAGGUAGAGGGACACACACACACACACACACACACACACACACACAGGUAGAGGGACACACACACACACACACAGCAACUACAGCACACAGGUAGAGGAACACACACACACACAGCAACUACAGCACACAGGUAGAGGGACACACACACACAGCAACUACAGCACACAGGUAGAGGGACACACACACACAGCAACUACAGCACACAGGUAGAGGGACACACACACACACACACACACACACACACACAGGUAGAGGGACACACACACACACACACACACACACACACACAGGUAGAGGGACACACACACACACACACAGCAACUACAGCACACAGGUAGAGGAACACACACACACACAGCAACUACAGCACACAGGUAGAGGGACACACACACACAGCAACUACAGCACACAGGUAGAGGGACACACACACACAGCAACUACAGCACACAGGUAGAGGGACACACACACACACACACACAGCAACUACAGCACACAGGUAGAGGGACACACACACACACACAGCAACUACAGCACACAGGUAGAGGAACACACACACACACACAGCAACUACAGCACACAGGUAGAGUGCCCACACACACACACACAAAGCAACUACAGCACACAGGUAGAGGGAAACACACACACACACACACACACACACAGCAACUACAGCACACAGGUAGAGGGACACACACACACACACACACACACACAGCAACUACAGCACACAGGUAGAGGGACACACACACACACACACACACACAGCAACUACAGCACACAGGUAGAGGGACACACACACACACACACACACACACACACAGCAACUACAGCACACAGGUAGAGGGACACACACACACACACACACACACAGCAACUACAGCACACAGGUAGAGGGACACACACACACACACACACACACACAGCAACUACAGCACACAGGUAGAGGGACACACACACACACACACAGCAACUACAGCACACAGGUAGAGGGACACACACACACAGCAACUACAGCACACAGGUAGAGGGACACACACACACAGCAACUACAGCACACAGGUAGAGGGACACACACACAGCACACAGGUAGAGGGACACACACACAGCAACUACAGCACACAGGUAGAGGGACACACACACACACACACACACACACAGCAACUACAGCACACAGGUAGAGGGACACACACACACACACACACACACACACACACACACACACACACACACACACACACACACACACACACACAGCAACUACAGCACACAGGUAGAGGGACGGACACACACACACAGCAACUACAGCACACAGGUAGAGGGACGGACACACACACACACACAGCAACUACAGCACACAGGUAGAGGGACGGACACACACACACACACAGCAACUACAGCACACAGGUAGAGGGACACACACACACACACACACACACACAGCAACUACAGCACACAGGUAGAGGGACACACACACACACACACAGCAACUACAGCACACAGGUAGAGGGACGCACACACACUCUGUUUUGGCAGUACAUUUGUGGGGCGGCAGAUAGCCUAGUGGUUAGAGCGUUGGACCAGUAUCCCAAAGGUUGCUGGAUUGAAUCACCGAGCUGACAAGGUACAAAUCUGUCGUUCUGCCCCUGAACAAGGCAGUUAACCCACUGUUCCUAGGCCAUCAUUGAAAAUAAGAAUUUGUUCUUAACUGACUUGCCUAGUUAAAUAAAGGUAAAAUAAAUAAAUACAUUUUAAAAAGAUGGUGGCCGACAGACACGGUCGCCUUGCUCCUAGCCAACUUUGCAGUAUUUCGUUUUUUUUGUUCAGUGUUAUUUCUUACAUUAUUUACUCAGAAUGUUUCUUGUAUUAUUAUGUACAGCCGGAAAUAACUUUUGGAUAUUAGAUCGGCGGUCACUUACCAGAAAUUGGACUUCCCUGACCUGGAUCCUUUGUUUUGACCUUCCCGAGGGAGUUCUGAUCAUCCCAGGAGCUGCACCGAACCGCCCACGUUGGAGAAGAGAUAGGAGUUGUGCCCUAGUCAGUUCUGAUCAUCCCAGGAGCUGCACCGAACCGCCCACGUUGAAGAGAUAGGAGUUGUGCCCUAGUCAGACUCAGGUGGCGUGCAUACCAUCCACUGCUUCCCAGUAUAUUACUUGCCAACGUUCAGUCCCUGGACUAAGCAUGUUAACCCACACGAGGCUGCAGGCCCAGACGGCAUCCCAAGUCGUGUCCUCUUGAGUGUUUACGGACAUAUUCAAUCUCUCCCUUUCCCGGUCUGUUGUCCCCACUUGCUUCAAGAUGUCCACCAUUGUUCCUGUACCCAAGAAAGCGAAUGUAACUGAACUAAAUGACUAUCGCCCUGUAGCACUCACUUCUGUCAUCAUGAAGUGCUUUGAGAGGCUAGUUAAUGACCAUAUCGCCUCCACCUUACCAGACACCCUAGUCCCACAACAAUUUUCAGAUCCACAGACGCAAUCGCCAUUGCACUGCACACUGCCCUAUCCCACCUCAAGAUAAAUACCUAUGUAAUAAUGCUGUUCAUUGACCACAGCCAAGCUUCUACAGAGGCACCGUUGAGAGAAUCCUGUCGGGCUGUAUCACCGCCUGGUACGGCACUGCACACAACCGCAGUGUUCUCCAGAGGGUGGUGAGGUCUGCCCAACGCAUCACCGGGAGCACACUGCCUGCCCUCCAGGACACCUACAGCACCCGAUGUCACAGGAAGGCCAAGAACAUCAUCAAGGACCUCAGCCACCCGAGCCACGGCCUGUUCACCCCGCUAUCAUCUAGAAGGCGGAGACAGUACAGGUGCAUCAAAGCUGGUAUAUAGAAGCUGAAAAACAGGCCUACAAGCCAUCAGUCCAGCCUCUCUGUUAAGAGAAGUAUGUUCUCAAUGUUCAUAAACUGAACUUUAACUACUCAGUCUGCAACCCAGAAUUUGUAAGAUACUGGUUGAAAUGAAAACAGAGGCCUAGCCUAUAAUAGUCAAAUGUUUAUUCACGAGAGCGCUCUGAAGUGAAGAAUACAAAAACAUCCAUUUUAUAGCUGCGCACAUACUUCCACACGAACAGUAGAUAUCAUACGCACAUACAUACGAACAGUAGGUGAGUUGUAUCACUGUUUAUCACUACCAAGCCGCGUGGGCUACCGGCAGUUCCACUCCCCCGAGAUUAGGGAAACCUUGAGAAGUCCUCCCUGUCCUCAUAAGUUCUCAGUUCCUGCCAGGUGGGUUCAAACACAGUCUAACUGUUCUCGGUAUCUUUCU
Long non-coding RNA from Salvelinus fontinalis (brook trout), 3268 nucleotides. RefSeq lists it as uncharacterized. The transcript has 4 exons. The record is from RefSeq and is a predicted model, not a curated record. NCBI's taxonomy places the organism in Eukaryota, Metazoa, Chordata, Actinopteri, Salmoniformes, Salmonidae.